RNAcentral lists this small RNA (832 nucleotides) under Pongo abelii (Sumatran orangutan). Its description in RNAcentral is "processed transcript". The record is from RNAcentral. Lineage: Eukaryota; Metazoa; Chordata; Mammalia; Primates; Hominidae.
AGAUUUCGACACAGCCCCAACUGCUGGUACCUGAGAAACUGGACUAUCCACACCUGGAUUAGGCAGUGUCUAAAAUAUGAUGCACAAGACAAAGCCUUAUAUACCCUUGUAAAUAAGGUUCAAUAUGGAAUUUUUCCAGAUAACUUUACAUUCAAUUUACUGAUGGAUUCUUUCAUAAAGAAAGAAAAUUACAAAGAUGCUUUAUCUGUGGUUUUUGAGGUCAUGAUGCAAGAAGCCUUUGAAGUGCCUUCCACCCAACUUCUCUCCCUCUAUGUUUUAUUUCAUUGCCUGGCAAAGAAGACAGACUUCAGUUGGGAAGAGGAGAGGAACUUUGGUGCAUCCCUAUUGCUUCCAGGCCUAAAACAAAAGAACUCAGUGGGUUUCAGUUCCCAGUUGUAUGGCUAUGCACUUCUUGAUUAGCAUUCAGGACUGUCAUACAGCCUGAAUUGGUCAGAAGUGACAGGGCAAAGAAUAUGUACUUUGUUGUGGUUUGUGAGCAGAGGCCCUGGUUCUUUGUGAUAGCAGCCAUCAGAUCAGAAGCUCUUUGCUCUCAUUGUGUCAUUUGCCAUGCAGCCUCACUCAACCCUGAUGGAAGCAGCUGCCCAGAAUGUAACUACAGUCCAGCCCCAAGCACCUUAAAGGGAAGGUGGAGUUGCAGCAAGGGCUACGGGCUGUGUACCACAACAUGCCUCUGAUAUGGAAACCAGGCUACCUUGACAGAGCCCUUCAAGUGAUGGAGAAAGUGGCUGCCUCCCCAGAAGACAUAAAGCUGUGUAGAGAAGCGCUCGAUGUGCUGGAUGCAGUGCUGAAGGCUCUGACUUCGGCUGAUGGG